AACGAACGCUGGCGGCGUGGAUAAGACAUGCAAGUCGAACGCUGGUUGUCAGGUAGCAAUAUUUGGCAGUCGGAGUGGCGCAAGGGUGAGUAACACGUGGGAAAUUUGCCGCGAAGACCGGAAUAACCCCGAGAAAUCGGGGCUAAUGCCGGAUGUGAACCCGGUGGGGCAACCUGCCGGAUUCAAAGCUGGGGACCGCAAGGCCUGGCACUUCGUGAUAAUCCCGCGGCCUAUCAGCUAGUUGGCGGGGUAACGGCCCACCAAGGCGAAGACGGGUAGCUGGUCUGAGAGGACGACCAGCCACACUGGAACUGAGACACGGUCCAGACACCUACGGGUGGCUG
This 344-nucleotide ribosomal RNA is filed under the name uncultured Verrucomicrobiota bacterium. RNAcentral's name for it is "bacterial SSU rRNA". It matches the Rfam family "Bacterial small subunit ribosomal RNA", at positions 29 to 351 of the family's 1533-position model. The record is from RNAcentral. Lineage: Bacteria; Pseudomonadati; Verrucomicrobiota.